GAGAAAAAUUUAUUGAGUCUGAUAAAGUAGAAACUGGGGAUCUGAUGGAUAAAUUUAUGAGCAUGAAAUAUGAUGGCACAAAUGGUGUUAGGGAGCAUGUCAUGAAAAUGAUAAAUAUAUCAUCUAAGUUAAAGGCUCUUGACAUUCCCAUUGCGGAGCCUUUCCUAGUCUAUCAUGUUUUGAAUAGCCUUCCUAGCAAGUUUAAUCAGCUUAAGGUUGCUUACAAUGCUCAGCGGGAUAAGUGGAAUUUGAAUGACCUCGUAGCAGUGUGUGCCCAAGAAGAGUAUAGAAUGCGUCGUGAAACUAUUGAAACUGUGCAAUUAGCUUUUCAGCCAUCACAGAAUAAGAGGCCUUCUCAUAAUCAUAAACCUAAAUUUCGUAAGAGUAACAAGUCUCAUCGAAGUCAACAAAAUAAUAAUUUUAGUGGUCCCAAAGUAGUUAUAAAGAAAAAUGAUCAAUGCAAGUUCUGUAAAAAGAAGGGUCACUAGCAGAAAGACUAUUUUAAGUUCAAGACUUGGUUGGAAAAGAAGAAGAGUUCUUCAGGUAUUCCCUUGGCCUUAGUUUGUUUUGAGUCUUCUUUAGUAGGUGUACCUUUGAAUUCUUGGUGGUUAGACUCGGGAGCUAGUAUUCAUAUUGCGAAUUUCUUGCAGGUGUUCAUAAGCAAACAGAGGCCAAGUGAGAAUGAAGUAAGCUUGAGCGUUG
This 702-nucleotide long non-coding RNA is filed under the name Olea europaea subsp. europaea. The record is from RNAcentral. Lineage: Eukaryota; Viridiplantae; Streptophyta; Magnoliopsida; Lamiales; Oleaceae.